This 259-nucleotide unclassified non-coding RNA is filed under the name Stereum sanguinolentum. RNAcentral's name for it is "partial internal transcribed spacer region". The stretch from base 1 to 46 matches the Rfam family "Eukaryotic small subunit ribosomal RNA", at positions 1786 to 1831 of the family's 1831-position model. The record is from RNAcentral. Lineage: Eukaryota; Fungi; Basidiomycota; Agaricomycetes; Russulales; Stereaceae.
AAGUCGUAACAAGGUUUCCGUAGGUGAACCUGCGGAAGGAUCAUUAAUGAAAUUUAUGACUGGAGCUGUAGCUGGCCCUUAAAAACGGCAUAUGCACGCUCCUUUCACUAAUCCACACACACCUGUGCACCUUCGCGGGGGUCUUCUUUUCGGAGAAGGCUCGCGUCCCUUUACACACCCUUUGUAUGUCUUAAGAAUGUCUACUCGAUGUAAUAAAACGCAUCUAAUACAACUUUCAACAACGGAUCUCUUGGCUCUC